Molecule: long non-coding RNA, 297 nt
Filed under: Brachypodium distachyon (stiff brome)
Lineage: Eukaryota; Viridiplantae; Streptophyta; Magnoliopsida; Poales; Poaceae
Description: long non-coding RNA (BDIS_LNC000290)
Source: RNAcentral
UUUACUGAAAUCGAUCGUUGGAGGUCUAUUUUUUCAAAAAAAAACAAAAACAAAUGGCAUCUCUCCUCUCCAUGGAUCAGCAUGGGAGUUUAUCGCAGCCUGGUGAAGCAAAAUUCCUGUCACUGUCGGCGCUGCAAGAACUGUCUACCCAUGGACAAAUCUGGCAGAGCUCAACGAAUAUCUUAGUAGCCUAGGAGUAGCACAUACUCAUCACUUUCGUAGUAAUUGGGCCGGCCUUGGCUUAUCAUCCUCUGCUAAUUUAAUGGUUUGCCGCCAAAUUUUUCUUCAGAUCAGGCU